CAGACGGGUGGCAGCAGGGAGGAAUAUGGGGCAAUGGGCGCGAGCCUGAACCAGCCAAGGAGCGGGAAGGAUGACUGCCCUACGGGUUGUAAACUUCUUUUAUAAAGGAAUAAAGUGAGGCACGUGUGCCUUUUUGUAUGUACCUUAUGAAUAAGGAUCGGCUAACUCCGUGCCAGCAGCCGCGGUAAUACGGAGGAUCCGAGCGUUAUCCGGAUUUAUUGGGUUUAAAGGGAGCGUAGAUGGGUUGUUAAGUCAGUUGUGAAAGUUUGCGGCUCAACCGUAAAAUUGCAAUUGAUACUGGCAGCCUUGAGUGCAGUUGAGGUAGGCGGAAUUCGUUGUGUAGCGGUGAAAUGCUUAGAUAUCACGAAGAACUCCGAUUGCGAAGGCAGCUUACUAAACUGCCACUGACAUUGAUGCUCGAAAGUGUGGGUAUCAAACAGGAUUAGAUACCCCAGUAGUC
Molecule: ribosomal RNA, 460 nt
Filed under: uncultured bacterium
Lineage: Bacteria
Description: partial 16S ribosomal RNA
Rfam family: Bacterial small subunit ribosomal RNA
Source: RNAcentral